CAAGUUUUUAGCCUGUCUCAGCUUUUGACAUGCCUUCCUUACUAAGCUUCAUCAUUUCUACAUUUUGAUUUAAAUUGAUAGAUGGUGACUUUUCCUUUCACUUGAACACUUAGAGGCCAUUUAGGGUUAUUAAUUGGCCUAAUUUCUAUAUUGUUAUGACUCAGGGAAUAGAAAGGCUCAAAAAGAGGGAAAGAGACAGAAAAAUGGCUGGUUGGUGGAGAAUUUAGUAUACACAGUACAUUUGUUGAUUGUUUGCCAUCUUACAUGGGCACAGUUAAUGGUACCCACAAACAAUUACAAUAGUAACAUCAAAGAUCUCUGAACACAUAUCAUCAUAACAGAUAAAAAAAUAAUUAAAAAGCUUGAAAUAGUAUGACAAUUGCUCAAAUGUGACACAGAGACAUCAAGUGAGCAUGUUUUUGGAAAAAUGGCACUAAAAAAACUGCUUGAUGCAGGGUUAGCACAAAUCGUUAAUUUGUAAAAAAUCAAUAUUUGUAUAUUACAAUAAAGCAAAG
This 515-nucleotide long non-coding RNA is filed under the name Homo sapiens (human). RNAcentral describes it as "HSALNT0310716". The record is from RNAcentral. Lineage: Eukaryota; Metazoa; Chordata; Mammalia; Primates; Hominidae.